RNAcentral lists this ribosomal RNA (362 nucleotides) under Amapasaurus tetradactylus. Its description in RNAcentral is "partial small subunit ribosomal RNA". It matches the Rfam family "Bacterial small subunit ribosomal RNA", at positions 858 to 1381 of the family's 1533-position model. The record is from RNAcentral. Lineage: Eukaryota; Metazoa; Chordata; Lepidosauria; Squamata; Gymnophthalmidae.
CACGACACCAUCCGCCAGAAAAUUACGAGCAAUUAAGCCUAAAACUCAAAAGACUUGACGGUGUCCCAACCUACCUAGAGGAGCCUGUUCCAUAAUCGAUACUCCACGCUCAACCCAACCACCCCUCGAACAACCAUCAGCCUAUAUACCGCCGUCACCAGCUUACCUUCCAAAAGCAAAAUAGUAAGCAAAAUAGUCAUACUACUAACACGUCAGGUCAAGGUGUAGCCCAUGGGGCGGCGCCAAUGGGCUACAUUGUCUGCCUCAGACUAUCUACGAAUUAUUUAUUGACAGACUAAUAUAAAGGCGGAUUUAGCAGUAAACUAAGCAAGACCACUUACUUUAACACAUGCUCUGGGACA